This 69-nucleotide transfer RNA is filed under the name Polyplax spinulosa (spined rat louse). RNAcentral's name for it is "tRNA-Phe". Lineage: Eukaryota; Metazoa; Arthropoda; Insecta; Psocodea; Polyplacidae. The record is from RNAcentral.
GCACUAAUAGCUUAUACUUUUCAAAGCUUUACUUUGAAGAGGUAAAAAAGAGAUUCAUCUCUUAGUGCU